This 448-nucleotide ribosomal RNA is filed under the name uncultured bacterium. Its description in RNAcentral is "SSU rRNA". It matches the Rfam family "Bacterial small subunit ribosomal RNA", at positions 26 to 518 of the family's 1533-position model. The record is from RNAcentral.
AGAGCGAACGCUGGCGGCAGGCCUAACACAUGCAAGUCGAGCGCGUGUAGCAAUACACGAGCGGCAGACGGGAGAGUAACACGUGGGAACGCGCCCUUUGGUUCGGAAUAACUCAGGGAAACUUGAGCUAAUACCGGAUAAGCCCUUACGGGGAAAGAUUUAUCGCCAAAGGAACGGCCCGCGUCCGAUUAGCUAGUUGGUGAGGUAACGGCUCACCAAGGCUACGAUCGGUAGCUGGUCUAAGAGGAUGAUCAGCCUCACUGGGACUGAGACACGGCCCAGACUCCUACGGGAGGCAGCAGUGGGGAAUAUUGGACAAUGGGCGCAAGCCUGAUCCAGCCAUGCCGCGUGGAUGAUGAAGGCCUUAGGGUUGUAAAGUCCUUUUAACGGGGAAGAUAAUGACGGUACCCGUAGAAUAAGCCCCGGCUAACUUCGCGCCAGCAGCCGC